This 4870-nucleotide long non-coding RNA is filed under the name Gossypium barbadense (sea-island cotton). RNAcentral's name for it is "long non-coding RNA (GBAR_LNC010001)". The record is from RNAcentral. Lineage: Eukaryota; Viridiplantae; Streptophyta; Magnoliopsida; Malvales; Malvaceae.
GAAAGUAAAGCUAUUGGAAACCAGGUUCGUGAACCCUUCACCCACUCAACUCAGUCUUACCACCAAAAUUAGAAUAUAGUUUAUUCAUGUUGGUAGCUGCAAGCAACUUAUAAGCUCAUGCUUUUAUUAAUUGGUGUGAAUUUUUUUCUCUUAUUCUCUCGGGUUUUCUUUAUAUUAUUCAUCAUUUCAUAUCGUAUAUAUUAAAAUCAAGAGAAUAUAGGAUAUUCAAGUUUCCUUAUUCUUUUCUAAGAACGCUGAAACUAUAGGAUAUUGGAGUCACUACUUGUGGCAGAUAGCUGAACCAGCUUUUAACUACUAUAUGAACAUGAGAAAAUGAGCAUGAGAAAUCAAGGAAACUAAAGGAAUGGAUAGUUGAGAGACACACCUCAAAAAGGAUCUAGAAAAGAGAGUAUCUCAUCCUCUUAUUUUCAUUUCGUCUUCUUUUCAGCUCAAAUUCAUCAUCGAAAAUGUAAGUAGCUCUCUUUUAUUAUAUCGAAAUUAUUCAUGUAAUUCAUCUUUACUUUUUAUUUUUGGUUCUAAUCUUGUUUACUCUAUCUCCUUUGGAUUACUCUUUUUCUUCUGUGAGUUUUCUCUUCUUUUUCUUUAGUUAUUUUUUGAAUUUUUUUGUUUUGAUUGAUGAAUAGUUGCGAUAUUUGGAGUAUGUGAUGUUAUAAACUGAUAUUUCAUGGAAAAAAAAUUUAAAUUAAAAGAUUUACUGUUUGGCUUUGACUUUUGAGUUGACCUUGUAACUAUCGAAGUUCAAGUUAUCUGUUUAAGUUUGUAGUUAUCUUUUUGUUGUGUUUUCCGUUUAUGUGAUGAGCUACUGUGAAAUUUUUAGUGUUUAGAACCUGAGAGAAGUGGAAGAGUAACUAAUUGACUUUUAAUUGAAAUAAUUUUUAAUACUAUCUGGUUCGAAGUUAAUAUGAACAUGAGAAAUCAAGGACCAAAAGCCAAGGAAAAAACAUUAGAAGAUACAAUACAAGAUCCAUUAAGGUUCAUGAUAACUAGUUUUAGAAUCAACUUAGAGAAAUUUCCAUUGAAAUAGAAGAAAUAACAUACAAUUCACCCCUUUUUUAAACUCACAAACAAUAAACUAUAUUAGAAUCCUUACUGAAUUUUGAUAUUUAAGCAAGUGAAAGCAUUUGAUAAUUCCAAAGCCCAGAACCCAAAAGAUCACAUAAAAGAAUUGCAUACAGUUCAUUUGACUGCAUUUAUCUUGCUUCCUCAAUAAAAAUGGAAAAGCAAAGAAAUGUUUGAUCAGUCCUCUCAUAAAAAAUUUAACUCCUAACAUAGUACUAGAUUCAUCAAGAUGAUGAUCAUGACAGUUUUCCCACAGACGUCCAUUUUAACACCAGAAAUCAACUAUCAAGUAACAAUAAAUUGAAUUCCAACAAAAUAACAGAAAUAAGGGCAUGGGUAUUGACGAUUAAAGGGUAAAGAGAAAACCAAAAUCAAAAUUUUACCCAAAAAAAUAGAAGAAAUGAAGCUUUUGGGAAUCACCUGAAAGAAGUAUAGUUAUAGAAUUCAACAUCCAAACACAUGAAAAGAAGUGAAGCAGAGGAGAAAAUUGUUUGUCCCAAACGAAGAGCCAAGCUAGCGCUAAUUCCCAAUGACCCUGGCACUGGCUCCAUCAUUUUUCAAGUCAGCUUAUCUCUCCGUUUCUUCAUCUUUAAAUUCCCAAACAAGAAAGAAGAAAACAAAGUUCCAAAGAAAGUGAAGUGAUAUCUGAAAUUCCGAAAAAGUAUGCUUGCAAAAAAGGUUCUACCUUUGGGUUUUGUUUCUAUAAUGAAGAACUUGGAAGAGAGAAAGAAAAAAAGGAAGAUAGUGUUUUGUUACCAAAUAUCUAUGGACUCGAUUGAAUAAAAAAUGAACAGAUAGGGGAAUGGCCUGCUCUCUCUCUCGAUGCUUUGUUUUUGUUAAUGCCAUAAAAGAAGAAUUGUAAAUGUUGCAGCAAGCAACUAGAUCAAUGAUGAAAGAUAGAAUGCCACUAGAUCAAUGAUGAAAGUAGCUAUGAUUUAGCGAUAGUGUCCAUGGAGAGGUGAAAGAGUUGCUUUGGUUCAAGUCAGGAAAGAAUCUGACUAAGAAAGAAAGGCUCUAUGUUUCAUAGAGAUAGAGGCAUACUAUAUAAGAGCAAAACAUCAAAGAAAAAAAACAAAUUUAGGGUAAUAGAAGAGCAAGCACAAACUGAAUGAUGCAAAACCCAGAAAUAAAUAGAUUUUAAAUAAAACAUAAAAGAAGAAGAAGAAGAUUCUUCAACAGACUGAUACAAAAUCCAAACAGAUGCAAAAUCCAAAUAGAUUCUUCAACAAAAGAAAAAAAAGGAAGAAGAUUUGAGUGAGAGAGGUGACAAAUUGAAUGAAAUACAGAGUAAAGCAUAAAAAAGUUAUCUUGAGCUUUGUUUCAGGAAGGGAACUGGUCCAAUUGGAUGAUGAAGAAGAAGGACGGAAGGAGGAGGAAAGAUGGAAAAUGUCUUACAGAAAUAAAAUCGGUAAGACAUUUUCCCCAAAUCCCUUAUCAUUUUCCCGUGUUUCUGAAAAUGUUUUACCAAUGUAGGUGAUUUUCAAGCAAACAAAUACUGGAAAACCAGUAAAACAUUUUCCAGAAAAUGUUUUCCUAGUAAACAAACAGACCCUAGAUUGGAAAGAUGAAAUAAUAAAAGAUGGUAUUUUAAUUAAAUAAAAAAUAUCAUCAUUUAUAUCAUCUUUCCUAAACAAAAUACAUGAAAACCCUAGUUAGAAGAGCCUGAAGAUAGACAAGCUUAUUUUUCUCAAUUAGGUGAGCAUUCAAGUCCCGUUUUUAAUGAUUUUUAUGUUCCCGAGAUCGUAAUAGCUUAAUUUAGCUAUCUCGGGGAUUAAUUUGUAAAGUUAUCAAAGUACUAGGGUUUUUCCAUGAAUUAAUAUGCAUGAAUUAUGAAGUUUUAUGGUAGAAAUUGAAAAAUUGUUGAUAGAUAAACAACUUCUGUAAAGGGAAUUUUGAUGAAAUUUUAUUUAGGGACUAAAUUGAAAAGAUGUAAAAUUCAUGAAAAAUUUUGAAUUUUGUGAAAUACAUGGGCUGCUAAUGUUACAUAUAAAAAUCGGCUAGGCUUGGAAUAAGGAUUAAAUUGCAUGAAUUUCAUUUUCCGAGCCUAGGGACGAAAUCAGAAUUAAAUAAAAGUAUAAGGACAAAAUGAUACUUUUGACUAAGAUGUGAAUUGGAUUUAAUUGAGUAUGAAUUGUAUUAAAUUAAUGAUAAAUGCAUAUAUGUGAAUUUGGUAAGUUAGGUAAGUUUGUAUACUUGGUUAUAAGAGGUAUUAUAUCAUGUAUAAGACCUGAUUUUGAAUGGAUUUGAAUGUCUUGUAUUGGCUUGAGAAUAUGUUUAAGUGUUUAUAUAGGUGAAAGACAAAUUUGGGUGAGAAAUAUGUCUUAGAAAUGACCUUAUUUUGUCAACACGGGCGUAUGUCUCAAUCGUGUGUGACACAUGACCUAGCACAUGGGUGUGUGACUUGGUCGUGUGUGACACACGGCCCCCUGCAUCUUUAAGAUCUCAAAACAAAAUGCACAAAAUUGAUCACACGGCCUGGCACACGGCGUGUGGCUUGGCUGUGUGACCCUUGCACCUAUUUAAUGAAAAUUAUUAUGUUCACACGGCCUAGCACACGGGCGAGUGACUUGGCUGUGUGACCCAAGAUAGAGAGUUACACGGGUACUAACACGGGUUGGGACACGGUUGUGUGCCUUAUUUCGAAUGUCCACACGGCCUAAGACACGGGCGUGUAUGUCCCUUGCACCUAAGAAAUUUUUUGAAGUUUCGCGAAAAAUUCUUUGAGUACCCGGUUUAGUCCCGACUUGAUUCUAAUGCGUGCUUUGAGUCUCGAGGGCUCACAUAAGGGACGAUAUGAUUGAUUGUUACAAGUUUAUGAUAUGAAUGUGAAAUGAUGUAAAAUUGUUUGUAUUUUAUCUGUAAAUCUUGGUAAUACUCCGUAAUCCUAUUCCAGCGACAAAUAAGAGUUAGAGGUGUUAGAACAACAAUCUUCAUUAGGGCAAAAAACUGGCUGAUAAAACAUUAACAUAAUAUGCACGCUUUAGUGAAGGUAAGAUUUGUUUCAUCAUCUUCUCCAAAGCUCCCCAAAAUGGAAAUUUUUGUUUUAGUCUCUUUAAAGAUUAAAUUAUUUUAACCAAUACAAUAGUAAAAACGUACUUUUCACCUUUAAAAUUUUAUAAUUCAAUUCUAACCUUUCAAAAAUAAAUAAUUUAUAGGUUAAUCCUUCUAUAAAUUGGAAAAUUUUAAACUAAUAUAAUUAUAAAAUUAUAUUUUAACUUAAUUUUGGUCGCCAUAAAUUUUUUUGGCUUUUUCCUUACCUAUAGGUAUUCCAUAAUAAAUGGCAUCUCUUUCAUCUCAACUUUUUGUUCUUACAUUUUCCUCUCCUUUUUCACUAUAUUAUUUUUUUCUUGAUUCACUAUACUAAUUUAAGUAUUGAAAAUCAUCUCACAGCACUCGAUGCCCCUUAGCUCUCCCAUGUAUUGCAAGAGUCUCUGAAUAUUUAAGUCCAUCCCACCUCCAUCAAAGGUCACUCUCCUACCUAAUCCAUUAGAAACUGCAUCAACACUUAUCAUCUUUACUAGGGAAUGAGCAAAAUCCAUGGCUCAACCGCUUAAUGUGUCAAUCUUCAGCUUGAACAAUAUUAAAUUUUGUUUUUUCACCAUAUUAUUUUUAAAGUCAUAUGUUACAUAAAUCUCUCUGAGCUUCUUGAGAGUUUUUUUGGUGGAGAUGAAUAUAAUGUAUAUUUGCGUUGUUUUGAAAUAUACUUUGAUAUUUAAGUUAAGGUCUUUUAAAAUAAUUUUUUUAAAAAAUUAUAUAUUUAUAAAGUACAAUAAUAAAUAUAACCCUCAAC